RNAcentral lists this ribosomal RNA (119 nucleotides) under Pteropus alecto (black flying fox). The record is from RNAcentral. Lineage: Eukaryota; Metazoa; Chordata; Mammalia; Chiroptera; Pteropodidae. RNAcentral also lists the same sequence under 1 other name.
GUCUAUGGCCAUGCUACCCUGAACAAGCCAGAUCCCAUCUGAUCUCAGAAGCUAACUAGGGUCAGACCUAGUUAGUACUUUGAUGGGAGACCACCUAGGAAGACCAGGUGCUGUAGGUG